CCUACGGGAGGCAGCAGUGAGGAAUAUUGGUCAAUGGGCGCGAGCCUGAACCAGCCAAGUAGCGUGAAGGAUGACUGCCCUACGGGUUGUAAACUUCUUUUAUAAAGGGAUAAAGUGAGGCACGUGUGCCUUAUUGUAAGUACUUUAUGAAUAAGGAUCGGCUAACUCCGUGCCAGCAGCCGCGGUAAUACGGAGGAUCCGGGCGUUAUCCGGAUUUAUUGGGUUUAAAGGGAGCGUAGAUGGGUCGUUAAGUCUGUUGUGAAAGUUUGCGGCUCAACCGUAGAAUUGCAAUUGAUACUGGCAGCCUUGAGUACAGUGGAGGUAGGCGGAAUUCGUGGUGUAGCGGUGAAAUGCUUAGAUAUCACGAAGAACUCCGAUUGCGAAGGCAGCUUACUAAACUGCCACUGACAUUGAUGCUCGAAAGUGUGGGUAUCAAACAGGAUUAGAUACCCCAGUAGUC
RNAcentral lists this ribosomal RNA (460 nucleotides) under uncultured bacterium. Its description in RNAcentral is "partial 16S ribosomal RNA". It matches the Rfam family "Bacterial small subunit ribosomal RNA", at positions 338 to 795 of the family's 1533-position model. The record is from RNAcentral.